AUAACAGGCAACUUCACAUUUUCCCAGAACUCUCCUUACCUAUAACCAGUUCAUUAGGUACCUUUUUGCCUUCCAAGUGACUGUAGGCAGCAGCCUCACUGACUUGUCACUGACAUGGUCCUCUUUCUCCAGGCUCUGCUGACAAUCUCCUCAGGCCUCUGCUUGCCAUCUGGUCCCAAAGCCAAUACACUUGUGUUUGGGGUUUGGUACAGCAGCACCCCACCUCCAGGUUGACUGGCUCAGCUGGGCGGUUCUGCUCCGUGUGGUAUAGCUGGAGUCACUCAUGUGACGGCAUUCAGCUGGGAGGUCAGCUGGGGCUGCUCUGCCUGAGAGGGCCUCCCAUCCUACAGGACACCCUGCACAGCCUCUCCUCAACGGACAGCCCGACCUCUUCAUGUCAUGGCUGUGGGCAUCCAGGAGGAGCCUUACAGAGAGUGAAGCCUACAAGAGCAUGUGGUUCUUUCCCAGACUCCAGAACUUGCCUCAUGCUCGUGCACCAGUCAUCCCUCUGCUGGACACCUGAGGGGACCCUUGGCAGACCUCGGGUCCUCUGGGCUGCAGACUCUGGCCAUCCUGGCCCUCCCAGACACCCAGCUCCAUCGUUGAACCUGCGGAGUCCACGUGGGCUGCCUACCUGUGCCACGGCCUGGAUGCUCUCCAGGCAGUGACCUGGGGCAAUGGUAGGGCUCAUAUUGCUUGUUUCCUGUCUCCCAGGAGUCACUGUCCUUCACUGCCUGAUGUCCAGCAUCUAGAGAUUCAUUGCUUCAUAUAUUUUGUCCAGCUUUUCAGUUGUUUCAGGCAAGACAGUAAAUCUGGUUUUCCAUAACUGCCCUCUGUGCCAGAAGUGGACAUCUGUUUAAGUUUCUUUGGAGCUCGGUACUCUAACAGUUGAGUCAUGGGCCUGACCCUCACCUCUCUCUGCCCUCUGGCUGCAGAGAUGGGAGCCUUCCUCAGUAUAUGCUGCCAAGGGGAC
Molecule: long non-coding RNA, 973 nt
Filed under: Equus asinus (donkey)
Lineage: Eukaryota; Metazoa; Chordata; Mammalia; Perissodactyla; Equidae
Description: lncRNA (ENSEASG00005032419.1)
Source: RNAcentral